Molecule: long non-coding RNA, 283 nt
Filed under: Phoenix dactylifera (date palm)
Lineage: Eukaryota; Viridiplantae; Streptophyta; Magnoliopsida; Arecales; Arecaceae
Description: long non-coding RNA (PDAC_LNC020506)
Source: RNAcentral
AGAGUGGGGAAUAGGGUUUUCGGAAGAGGACAAAGGGUAAACAGUGCCCUAGAAGCUCACGGGUCCCCCUUUUAACAGUGGGGUCCCGACGUUGGGUCGACUCAAGAAUUUUCUUGGGUCAACUCAAUGUUGGGUCGACCCUAUUCUGGGUUGGGUCGACUCAAGUUCAGAAAUUUUUCCUUUCUCUUCCUUUUCGCUUCUAAAAAUUUUCCUUGCUUCCAAUCCUUACAAAUUCUUUCUGGGACAAUGAUACAUGAGUAAGGAAUCUAUAGAUUACAAGUUU